AUAUAUAUAUAUAGUAGAGCUAGAAUACUUGUAAAAUUAUCACCCAAGUGAUACUUAUGUGUUUUUAGCCUUUGAAUGGAGAGAUGUGAGAUUGAGAUGAUGGUGGUAGGUGGUGGUAGGUGGAAUAGUGUUUAAUCCAAGGGCUAUUAAUAAUCAAAAAGUAGAUCCAAUGGCUAAAAACACACAAGUAUCACUUGGGUGAUACUUGUAAAAGUAUUCUAGGCCUACUCUCUCUCUCUCUCUCUCUAUAUAUAUAUAUAUAUGCACAAUUUUUUUUUUUCUAUAACAAUGCAUAAUAAAGUAAGCAUUAGACUAGUGUACCAAAGAUGCAACGUACUUAAAAGUUUGAUAAGAAAUCUGAAACAAAUUACCAGUCUCAAUUGCAUUAUAUUGUGAGCAUCAAUGCAUUAAUAAUUCACCAACGGUCCUUAGUGCAAGUGACAAAAAAUUUAAUGAUUGGUACUUCAAGUUCUAAAUUCGAAAUCUGGUUGCUUUAUAUUUUCAACUAAGUUUAUUUAUAAAAAAAUAAACAAAGCGGAUAUAUAGCUUGCUACUUUUUUUCUAAAUUUUUUUUUUUUUUUAUCUGUAUUGAGUUAUAGUGACGAUGUGUUGUCAGACAGAUAAAACUUUUUAUUCUGCAAGCCUGAAUCGCUUUGGAUUUCUCACAAUAUUAUCUUUAUAUAACAUUAAUGUAUUGAUAUAUAUUAUAUAAAGAUUUUUGAUUAACUCGUGCAUGCAUGUUUCAAUGCUAUACGUGCUUAUCAACAUUAGUUUAAAUCAGUCACUAGUCAUAUCAUAUGAGAAAUGCUAAUUAUUAUAUAUUUGAAAAUAGAGUGUAAAUUUUAUACUUACGAAUUUAUAAAUUUUUAAAAGUAU
Molecule: long non-coding RNA, 876 nt
Filed under: Ananas comosus (pineapple)
Lineage: Eukaryota; Viridiplantae; Streptophyta; Magnoliopsida; Poales; Bromeliaceae
Description: long non-coding RNA (ACOM_LNC025371)
Source: RNAcentral